UACGUAGGGUGCGAGCGUUGUCCGGAAUUACUGGGCGUAAAGAGCUCGUAGGUGGUUUGUCGCGUUGUCCGUGAAAACUCACAACUCAAUUGUGGGCGUGCGGGCGAUACGGGCAGACUGGAGUACUGCAGGGGAGACUGGAAUUCCUGGUGUAGCGGUGGAAUGCGCAGAUAUCAGGAGGAACACCGGUGGCGAAGGCGGGUCUCUGGGCCGAUACUGACGCUGAGACGCGAAAGCGUGGGGAGCGAACAGG
RNAcentral lists this ribosomal RNA (253 nucleotides) under uncultured bacterium. RNAcentral's name for it is "partial 16S ribosomal RNA". It matches the Rfam family "Bacterial small subunit ribosomal RNA", at positions 524 to 776 of the family's 1533-position model. The record is from RNAcentral.